GUGUCAGCCGCCGCGGUAAUACGGAGGGUGCGAGCGUUGUCCGGAAUCACUGGGCGUAAAGGGCGCGUAGGCGGCAGGCCAAGCGUGCGGUGAAAGUCCGGGGCUCAACCCCGGAUCGGCCGUGCGGACUGGUUUGCUAGAGCACUGUAGAGGCGAGUGGAAUUCCGGGUGUAGCGGUGGAAUGCGUAGAGAUCCGGAAGAACACCGGUGGCGAAGGCGGCUCGCUGGGCAGUGGCUGACGCUGAGGCGCGACAGCGUGGGGAGCAAACAGGAUUAGAUACCCUCGUAGUCC
Molecule: ribosomal RNA, 292 nt
Filed under: uncultured bacterium
Lineage: Bacteria
Description: partial 16S ribosomal RNA
Rfam family: Bacterial small subunit ribosomal RNA
Source: RNAcentral